CAAAAUCCAGCAGAUAUUCUCUUUUUGCAUACUUAUGAUGACUGAAAAAGGACAUAAUCAAUUUUUCAUCAUCUUACCGCGGCCAACUAUCAAUACAAUUUUUGAUGGAUUUUACGAAUUAAUUUUGAGUUGCAUUUUAACUGUCUUUUUAGCUAUGUUGAUGAAUUUAAAGUUGUAGAUGAACUAUUUUUUGCAAUGUUGAUUUAUGUGCAUAACAUAUCAUCUCAUGAGGUUCAGGUCAAGCACCUGCUGUACAUAGAACAACAAUCCAUUACAGCUUUGAUUAUGCCGAGCAGAUCUUCUGCCCAUACUAGGCACAGCAAGAGUGCCCUGCUUUGAAGUGUUCUGUAAAUCAUAUGGUUCACAGAUAUCUCAGUGAUAAGGGUUUAGCUGUUAGUGGCCAAUGGUGUGGUACCUCAUUUCCAACAUUAUCCAUAUAGAGAAGACUCUGCAUACCUGCACAUUGACAACUGUGUUGGGUGGAAUAAAAACAAUGCAGCCAUUUGGGUCUGAUGUAUUCUGAAGGGAGAGAAACAGCAUUUACUUAAAUGGAAGCAGGUGACAUAAAGUUCAGUCUUGUGUGAGAUUUGGUCUGUGGAAGACCAAAUGGAGGCAGCACACAUCCUUUGUGGAUUGAUGACCUUGGCAAACUGGUUAUAUUCUUUGACUGGUUGGAGUACACCAAGUGACCCCUGAAGUCCAUUCCAAACUUGAGGAAAUAUCAUCACUUCAGAACUUCAGCUGACAACCCCGUGAGUGAAUUUAUGAAAGAGCAUGCCAAGGACAGUGAGAUUGUAGUUAAAAUUGACAAGCCCACAACAAUGGCUUUUCCAUGGAGAGUACCCUGAACGCAUCCAACUAAAAGGACUUAAUGCGAAAAGGCUCUGAUCCCUUAAAUAAGUGAAAAAAACAAUAAACUGAUAUGUAAUCUUUAUAAACUAAAUAUAAGAUUUGAGAAUGAGCCCGUUACUGAGCUGAUGAAAACGUGUAUCAAUUUUGUAUUGACAAUUAUUUAUUCAAUAGAAACAUGUUCAUGUGAAAUUAAGCUACCAGUGAUUUUGAGUGAAAAACUGUGGUUUUAGCAAAUGAGUGAUAGAAGGUAGCUACACCCUGUCUUUUGUUGGUAGAGCCCCUCUGCCAUAUAAUGGAGACCGCUAUAUGAUUAUUAUUAAUACAAACUUAAAACAAUCUGGCAGUUGAAGCCUAUAAAUGCUUGAAUUGAAGACAUUUAUAAUAUUGUUUGUCAAUAUUAGUUACUUCACAGCCUGAUAAAAUGCACCUUAGCAACCUUUCAGUUUUUCUUCAAUAUCUUUAUUUUUAAAACCUUCCUGAAACAUUUUCAGCUUUAACUUUUACCUAUGAAUAAGCAUCGAAAAUAUAAUUUGUCAUGUACUAUGUGACCAAUUGCAUACCUCUUGAAACUACAUAAUGACGUGUACAUGCUAAGUAGUUAGUAUGUUAAAUAAAUUGCUUUCAUUUUUGUAAAAUGUUAAUGUUAUGUUUAUUAAAAUAAAAGUAUAUAUACGAGC
Mya arenaria is the source of this 1529-nucleotide long non-coding RNA. RefSeq lists it as uncharacterized. The transcript is spliced from 6 exons. The record is from RefSeq and is a predicted model, not a curated record. Lineage: Eukaryota; Metazoa; Mollusca; Bivalvia; Myida; Myidae.